UGUCGUGAGAUUACAGAGGGGUCCAUGU
RNAcentral lists this non-coding RNA (28 nucleotides) under Rattus norvegicus (Norway rat). The record is from RNAcentral. Lineage: Eukaryota; Metazoa; Chordata; Mammalia; Rodentia; Muridae.